This 283-nucleotide long non-coding RNA is filed under the name Amborella trichopoda. Its description in RNAcentral is "long non-coding RNA (ATRI_LNC001791)". The record is from RNAcentral. Lineage: Eukaryota; Viridiplantae; Streptophyta; Magnoliopsida; Amborellales; Amborellaceae.
AAACCCUAAAAAAGUAGAGAGAGAAAUGCUCUUGCGGUAUUGAAGGUUGAAACAAACCCACUAACCGCUAGCCUCUUGUCUCUCUACAAUAUACCCCCCUCUACCAAGCCGCCUAUCUUUCUCUCUCUUCCCCCUCCUCUCUCUCUCUCUAUCUCAUAUUCACCCCCGUGUGCAUUAAAAGUGGGCAAACAAGGAGCACCGAUAAAAAUAUUAUCGCGUUUAGAGAACCAGAGCAGCAGCUACCCUGAACUUGUUUUUCCGUCCUCUCUCUCUCUCUCUCUCU